AACUCGCCUACACGAAGCUGGAAUCGCUAGUAAUCGCGGAUCAGCACGCCGCGGUGAAUACGUUCCCGGGCCUUGUACACACCGCCCGUCACACCAUGAGAGUCUGUAACACCCAAAGCCGGUGGGAUAACCUUUAUAGGAGUCAGCCGUCUAAGGUAGGACAGAUGAUUAGGGUGAAGUCGUAACAAGGUAUC
Molecule: ribosomal RNA, 194 nt
Filed under: uncultured bacterium
Lineage: Bacteria
Description: partial 16S ribosomal RNA
Rfam family: Bacterial small subunit ribosomal RNA
Source: RNAcentral